This is a non-coding RNA of Cinara cedri, 216 nucleotides long. NCBI's taxonomy places the organism in Eukaryota, Metazoa, Arthropoda, Insecta, Hemiptera, Aphididae. The record is from the annotation of a GenBank genome assembly.
AGUAUAUUUACACAUACGGUUUAUUAUAAUAAAGUUUUAUUAAGAGCGUGGGGUAAACUCGAUUAUUAUGCCGGGCGGAAUACGCACUGAAUAUCGAAGGCUUUCCUCACGGCUGCAACUCACCGCGUACCUUUUCUCCGUAAUCUUAAUUUUGACUCGUUAGCAGACCGUCUGACACGUCUUGACUGCACGUCCGGAUGCUGCCGGAGUUCUCCU